AGAACUUGAAGACGAUUGUUGCAAAAUAGGUCAAAUUAGGGUUUGUAUUUUUUUUUUGGAAAAAAUAGAGGUUAUGAGCACCUCCGUACAAUUUCCGGAAUAAAAAAACGUGACCACCAUCUUCAAUCAAACAAAGCACACGAUGACGACGAACAAAGCUUUACAUUGUCAUGAUUCUGUUUUCAAGAGGGUCUCUUGCUUAGAUAAAAUGUCUGGCACAUUACACUCAAUGGGAUACAAGAUAACGUAAAAGAUUUCACUUCAAAAAUGUUCCAAUAAUCUGGUAAAUGGAAGAGGCAAAACAACAAGAUCAGUGUCAUGUUUCAAUUGCAGUUUCAAGCUACCCAGGUCUAAUAUAAGUAUUCAGACUUCUUUAAAAAAAACAAUACCUUUAUAGCAUAAAUGGAACAGGAAAAAGUUUAGCAUAAACGGAGCUCUUAGAUGCUCAGGAGUGACAAGAUGAAUAAAGUGGUGAAGAGUUGCAAUAUGCACUUUCUAUAAUGAAGUUAAGAGACGGAGAGAUAUGUUGGUGGCUUGGAUGUUAGAAGUUCAUGAUUUUUCAAAUUGUUUCGAGCAACUAGAUUAGAUGUUGUUACAAUAAGGAGGAUGCAUUCGUAUAUGUUGCGUAGGGAUGAGCUUGGUACCGAUCAGUACCGGUAUCGAAAAUACCGGUACGGUACAGUUUGGUACCGGUAAAUACCCGUACAGGACCGGCACCGAAAACGUCAAAAGUUGGUAGCAAAUUGGUACCGAAAUAUAUUUUCGGUUCGAAAAAUUCGGUACCAGUACUCGGUACUGUUUGCUCAUCUCUUUGCGUGUUAAUUUGUAAGCCCCGGACGCAUCGCGGCAGGGAGGCUUCCUUCUAGUUUACUCAAAUAAGAAACAAUAUCUAAUGUUUCCAUCGGUGAUAUUUGCAUGAGUCCC
RNAcentral lists this long non-coding RNA (924 nucleotides) under Helianthus annuus (common sunflower). The record is from RNAcentral. Lineage: Eukaryota; Viridiplantae; Streptophyta; Magnoliopsida; Asterales; Asteraceae.